GACGAACGCUGGCGGCGUGCCUAAUACAUGCAAGUAGAACGCUGAGGGAGGAGCUUGGUUCUCUGGACGAGUUGCGAACGGGUGAGUAACACGUAGGUAACCUGCCUUGUAGUGUGGGAUAACUAUUGGAAACGAUAGCUAAUACCGCAUAAGAGUAGAUGUUGCAUGACAUUUGUUGAAAAGUUGCAGUUGCAUCAGUACCAGAUGCGCCUGCGUUGUAUUAUCUAGUUGGAGAGGUAACGGCACACUAAGGCAAGGAUACAUAGCCGAACGGAGAGGGUGAUCGGCCGCACUGGGACGGAGACACGGCCCAGACUCCUACGGGAGGCAGCAGUAGGGAAUCUGCGGCAAUGGGCGGAAGUCUGACCGAGCAACGCCGCGUGAGGGAAGAAGGUUUUCGGAUCGGAAAGCUCGGUUGUAAGAGAAGAACGAGUGUGAGAGUGGAAAGUUCACACUGUGACGGUAUCUUAUCAGAAAGCGACGGCUAACUACGUG
RNAcentral lists this ribosomal RNA (495 nucleotides) under uncultured bacterium. RNAcentral's name for it is "partial 16S ribosomal RNA". It matches the Rfam family "Bacterial small subunit ribosomal RNA", at positions 28 to 507 of the family's 1533-position model. The record is from RNAcentral.